This 468-nucleotide ribosomal RNA is filed under the name uncultured bacterium. RNAcentral describes it as "partial 16S ribosomal RNA". It matches the Rfam family "Bacterial small subunit ribosomal RNA", at positions 28 to 507 of the family's 1533-position model. The record is from RNAcentral.
GACGAACGCUGGCGGCGUGCUUAACACAUGCAAGUCGAACGGAAAGGCCCUGCUUUUGCGGGUUUCUCGAUAGCGGAGGGGGGGUGAAUAACGCGUGGAUCACCCCCCUAUAUUUGGGGGAUCUCCACGAAACGGGGGAGAUAACAGCAGAGAAUAUCUUGAUCCGCGUGGGGGGUUGGAAAUUUACGGCGGUGGGGGAUGGUAUGGCGGCUUACCAGCUGGUUGGGGGGGUAGGGGAUGACAAAGCUUUCGACGGGUAGCCGGCCUAGGAGGGUGACCGGCCACAAUGGGACUGCGAUACGGACCAGACUCGUACGGGAGGCAGCAGUGGGGAAUAUUGCGGAGUGGGCGGAAGCCUGAUGCAGCAGCGCCGCGUGCGGGAUGACGGGCUUCGGGUUGUAAACCGCUUUCGCCUGUGACGAAGCGUGAGUGACGGUAAUGGGUAAGGAAGCACCGGCUAACUACGUG